AUGGCUGGGAUGGCAUCACGCAGCGAAGGCAAGACAACCGGCGACAAAGGCUACUGUAGUGUGAUUUAUUCACCCUAUCCACAGUCGUCGCCUCUUCCUCCUCGCCUGACCGACCUGUUCCAACAAUUUGGUCUGGACAAGAUCCGCGCGAUCAUGAACAGUUCUGAUGGUAAGACGUUCGAGCAAAAGAUCGACAAGUUACGAGAGGAAAUGAGUGCUUUCGAACGUGCUCGUAAUGAAUUCUUCGUCGAGGGCGAGGAUGUUGACGAGGACGACGAAGACGACGAGGACGACGACGUGGAUGUGGACGAGUCGGAUAGAAAGCUCUUAGAUGAUGACAAGAAACCCGAUAUCACGAAACGACCACACACUCCUAUUGGAGAUGAGGUGGAAUGCAAGAAGCCAAAGAUAGCAGAAGGCUCAAGGUGCCAAGGAGAAGAACCUGGGGCUGGAGGGAUAAAGAAUUCCUCCUGGGUCUGA
This 480-nucleotide ribosomal RNA is filed under the name Triticum aestivum (bread wheat). RNAcentral's name for it is "partial small subunit ribosomal RNA". The record is from RNAcentral. Lineage: Eukaryota; Viridiplantae; Streptophyta; Magnoliopsida; Poales; Poaceae.